UGACCGCGUAUGCUGCGUUUUAUCAUUCAGAAUUAUGGUGUGUACACAUCAGAUAGAGUCUCUUCUCAUUUUUAAUCGUCUUAUUUUUAGGGAGUUACCCUCUCAGAGUUGUUGGAGGCAAAGAGAAGCUUCAGCCCGUCGAAGCUGGAGCUGCACGCAGACGAGGAGGGGCAGUGUCUCCAGAGAAGAGUCCCCGAGGACACGACCGACCCCAGCCCGUCUCUGAGGGACGGACACCCGUGUGAACACCCGGAUGAGCAAGGAAACUGGAAAAGAAGACCAAGAAGCAAACCUGAAAGGUCAUCUUUUUGCCUCUCAUCAUCAUCAGUUAAAGGAGCGUGUGGUUUCACCCCGAGUCUGAGGACUCACCUCUCCUGCAUUGAGUCUGAGUGGACAGAUGAAAAUGACAACAUCCUUCACGGUUCCUGGGAUGUGUGUGUGACACAGCAGCAGACUGAAGACCGCAAUCUCAGCGCUGAGCUC
This is a long non-coding RNA of Carassius auratus (goldfish), 483 nucleotides long. RefSeq lists it as uncharacterized. The transcript has 3 exons. Lineage: Eukaryota; Metazoa; Chordata; Actinopteri; Cypriniformes; Cyprinidae. The record is from RefSeq and is a predicted model, not a curated record.